UGUGGCAAGUGAUGCAGAAGUUAAUAUUAUGCUAUACACUGAAACCUUUUGUGGACAAAAAAACUCCGCUUAUUAUCUGAUGCCACA
This is a non-coding RNA of Zea mays, 87 nucleotides long. NCBI's taxonomy places the organism in Eukaryota, Viridiplantae, Streptophyta, Magnoliopsida, Poales, Poaceae. The record is from Rfam.